UAGGGAAUCUUCCGCAAUGGGCGAAAGCCUGACGGAGCAACGCCGCGUGAGUGAUGAAGGUCUUCGGAUCGUAAAACUCUGUUAUUAGGGAAGAACAAAUGUGUAAGUAACUAUGCACGUCUUGACGGUACCUAAUCAGAAAGCCACGGCUAACUACGUGCCAGCAGCCGUGGUAAUACGUAGGUGGCAAGCGUUAUCCGGAAUUAUUGGGCGUAAAGCGCGCGUAGGCGGUUUUUUAAGUCUGAUGUGAAAGCCCACGGCUCAACCGUGGAGGGUCAUUGGAAACUGGAAAACUUGAGUGCAGAAGAGGAAAGUGGAAUUCCAUGUGUAGCGGUGAAAUGCGCAGAGAUAUGGAGGAACACCAGUGGCGAAGGCGACUUUCUGGUCUGUAACUGACGCUGAUGUGCGAAAGCGUGGGGAUCAAACAGG
Molecule: ribosomal RNA, 429 nt
Filed under: Actinomycetes bacterium
Lineage: Bacteria; Bacillati; Actinomycetota; Actinomycetes
Description: Actinobacteria bacterium partial 16S ribosomal RNA
Rfam family: Bacterial small subunit ribosomal RNA
Source: RNAcentral